Molecule: long non-coding RNA, 2913 nt
Filed under: Sus scrofa (pig)
Lineage: Eukaryota; Metazoa; Chordata; Mammalia; Artiodactyla; Suidae
Description: lncRNA (ENSSSCG00060039957.1)
Source: RNAcentral
AUCCCCAGCCCUACCCGGGGAUCAGAAGCACGGUGCUCGCGGCCCAUGCUGGGCGGGCGGGGCUGGGGUCGCCGAGGGGCGUGCCCGCGGGCUUUCGCCAGCACAGCCGCCAUCCGAAGUCGCUGUCUCCGCCUGGGGUCGUCUGAGCACUGCGGCUUAGAAGGCUGCUCUGCACAACGUGGGGAAGGGGCAGAGGCCGCUGCGCCGCGGCUCCCCGCAUCGCAGUCGGUCUCCCCUCCCCCCCAUUGAAGCUCCGUCGAGUCCGAGCCCGCGGGCAGGAGGCAGAGGCCAGCUGGGGAAACCGAGGCACAGACUGUACCAAGGCGCACCAGGUGUUAGCACACUACGAAGAAGCCAAGUGAAAGCCUAUGAGGAGCGACCCGUCCGAGGCCAGGAUUUUCCCCAGGGCCUGGGUCCUGGGGAUCGGGGUUAGAAGAAAGGGUCCUGGGAUUCCGGAAGGCCUGAGCGCCCGCUGCCCCGACAGCUUCGCGGGGUGGAUCAGCUGGAUCACCGCGAGGGUCCCCGGUCUCACGAAAUUAAUCGAGGAGUAAAGAUUACAUUUAACCUCUGCAGACAGCAAGACAGGGACCACUCUCCCUCCCAGCCUGGCGCCAGCUUGAACCCGAGGGCAUGUCAACAGGAGCCAGGAACUGGAGGCGAAGCAUCUUUCAUUUCCUCUGCGGCGGUGGAACAAGUGAGGGACCUGGCAGCAUCUAGCGGCGUGAUCCAGAGCCUGGUGGAGAGCUGGGAAGCUUGCAGCUCCUCUAAUUCUUACUGCUAUAAACCAAAGAGCCCUGGCCCUGCAUGAUCCCUGUGCCAUCGAGCAGACAGCAUCUCCCUGAGGUGAUUGGAUCAACUGCUUCGUGUCAGUGUCACCCAUGCUUGCUUCGGAGUUUCAAGGCCUUGAUCCUGGGAAAGGGAGUCGAGAAGGUGAUGAGGAGUCCAACCGCUCAUACCUGGACUCUGGGCCCAUCCCAUGCUACCUUGUGCAUCUCCUUUGCCAAGAUGCCCCUCUGCUGCCUGCCCAGGACACAAGUGGGUUACAGACUGACUUCAAGGUGGGUCCAGGUCAGGCCUCAGGCUCCAACCCUUCCCUGCCACAUCCACAGGGCUGAGGCUCUGGGCCUGGGACUCAGGACCUACAGUUUCCUUUUUGACUCUGUCCCGGGGAUGCACAUGUGGAUUAAAUUAGAGCAAUAUGUUUUUCUAACAGCAUCUUGGCUAAAAACCCAAGCAGAUAAAUGGAAACAAACCCAGCUUUAUGUGAAUGAAAAGGGGCUGAGGGGGGAGCCACUUCUGCCUGAAGCAUCGCAGCCACACAGCCGGCAGGGCUGCCCCCCCGCCCCCCUCCUCCCCCGGCCCCCGUCCAGCCUUGACCCCGGAAGCCCUCACCACAGGGCACCUUCUGCCGCCCAGCCCCCUCACCAGGCCCCUGCUCUGGCUGAACCGGCUUCCUGGCUUCCUGGCCCUCUCCAAACCCGCUCUGUGCCUCCACAGCCCUUGGUGGUGGGUGUGCCCUCUGUGCAGGAUCCUCUCUCAAGUCCGCCUGGCGCUGUGGUGAAGGGUACACAUUCCAGAGUCACGUGGGCAGGUGGCUUACCUGGCUUAUGGUCAGUUUCCUCACCUGUGAGUGGGGAUGUUCACCCCCCCCCCUGCAACCCCACAGAGCUCAGGGAAGACUGAGGAAAUGAUGCUCUUAGCACGGCACCUGGGACGCAGCUAACAUUUGCUGUGUGUCAUUGUCAUUAUCAUCAUCUUAUUAUUGUUAUUCUUCUUAUUGCUACCACCUCUCCAAUUCACCUGGCCUCUGUCUUUGCCCCACUGAUCACCUCCUUUAGAGGGGUCCUUUCCUCCCUACAGAAUUCCUUCUGCACCUCCCACUGAUGGUUUCUAGAAGGCAGGGGGCCCUCAGGGCAGGGGCCUCGUCAGGGUAGCAGCAGAGGUGAAGAGGGCGGGUAUUUGGGUAACAUUUGUUGGUAGAUGGGUUUGUGAUCAUGGGCUUUGUUGUUGGUUUUAAUGAGAGGGCAGAGUUGGCCAAACUCUCCCACAAAGUCUGCCUGUAGCCAUCACUCCUAGGCCUGCUUACAGGUCUUUCCUGGGGAGCUGGUCCCAGGGGCUCCCUGGGGAAACAGGUGGUAACUUCGCACUACCUCAGGGACGGAUUAGUCCCUGGAUGAUGCAUGAGUCCAGGAGUAGUGUUUCUUAUUAUUUGAAGCCACUCUGUUUUGCAGAUGCUUUCAGGGCCUUUCACUGAAGGAGCCCCUCUGAGCAUGAGAGCAUUGCUAAAAUCCUUGCUCCUCCACGGCCUUCUCCCCCACCCCCACUGGCUGCUUCCCCACCAGAAAGCCCCACUCACUUGGCAUCCCCCAACUGAGGUCUUUAAGAGGGAAGGGAAGGGGACACACCUGGUCCCAAUGCUGAGGCACUUAGAUGAGUUCCAGGUGAGGCAAGGGUUCGGUAACUCUCAAGUGCCUGAUGUUACCUACAAAAGCCAACCCCUCCUCUCCUCCUGGCCCAGCGCUCUGCCUCUGCACUUCUCUUGCGGACACGCCAUGCUCUCCUGGAAGGCAGAGGCUGCAUCCAACUCCCCAUUAUCAUCCUCCCAAGACCUAGAACACGGUAGGUGCUGCGUACAUAGAUGCUGUGAAUGAAUGAGAAGGAGACAGAGAGUGUGAAGUAAUAGGAAAUUCACACUGGUGUCUGCCUUUGGUUCCUGGUGGGGGCUCCUGAAAAAUCCUGGUCAUUUCCUGGAUAAUAAGAGGGCCUUUUGUGUGGAGUUUCUUGGUGGCUCAGUGGGUUGGGGAUCCAGCAUGCGUGGUCGCUGCUCUGGCUCAGGUUCGAUCCCUAGCUGGGGAAAUUCUGUGUGCCACGGGUAUAGCCGGAAAAAAAAAAAAAAAAAGUGUCUUGUUGGAA